Molecule: ribosomal RNA, 218 nt
Filed under: uncultured bacterium
Lineage: Bacteria
Description: partial 16S ribosomal RNA
Rfam family: Bacterial small subunit ribosomal RNA
Source: RNAcentral
GACGUGGGGGCGCGAGCGUUGUCCGGAUUUAUUGGGCGUAAAGCGCUCGCAGGUGGUUCGUCGCGUCGUGCGUGAAAGACCCCGGCUCAACUGGGGAGUGUCGUGCGAUACGGGCGGACUGGAGGCCAGUAGGGGGAUGCGGAAUUCCGGGUGUAGUGGUGGAAUGCGUAGAGAUCCGGAGGAACACCAGCGGCGAAGGCGGCAUCCUGGACUGGUCC